GGUUCGGUGGCCUAGUGGUUAGGCGCUCGCGCGCAAGACUGAUAGGUCCUGGGUUCGAAUCUCGCGAGGCGGGAUC
Molecule: transfer RNA, 76 nt
Filed under: Schistosoma mansoni
Lineage: Eukaryota; Metazoa; Platyhelminthes; Trematoda; Strigeidida; Schistosomatidae
Source: RNAcentral